AAACCGUUUCAUUACCUUUUGAAUGCCUAUCUUUGAAAAAUCGUGCUGACAGUCACCCUGAGGCAUGGUAUAAAUAGGCAAUAUCAGUAACACCAAUUCAUACGAUCCAAAAGAGUGGAUAAGACGUCAACUAUUACCAUACACAGUAAACGAAACUGUAGUUAAAUGUGUCGACCGUGAUCCACCUCUAAUUUACAUGGAACAAUGGCUAGUUGGAUCACCGUGACCCUUUGCUUUAUCUUAAUGACUAGGAUCAUCACUACAGAGGCAAAGACAUCCGAAAACUUCCCAAUAACAUCGCCGUGCAGUCCAAAAUGUGACCAGAAUCACACAUGUAAAAUGCGAAAAGGCCAUUGCCUUCACCCAAUAGAUCCAUGUAUGCCAACUUAUAGAUGCGUUAAAAAUAAAAAAGGAAAAGAAACGUAAUUUUGUUUGCAAUUAUUACAAACUAUGUAACGAAAAAUAAAGUAUUCUAUCUGAUUAA
This is a long non-coding RNA of Belonocnema kinseyi, 484 nucleotides long. RefSeq lists it as uncharacterized. The record is from RefSeq and is a predicted model, not a curated record. NCBI's taxonomy places the organism in Eukaryota, Metazoa, Arthropoda, Insecta, Hymenoptera, Cynipidae. The transcript is spliced from 2 exons.